Neomonachus schauinslandi (Hawaiian monk seal) is the source of this 207-nucleotide long non-coding RNA. RefSeq lists it as uncharacterized. The transcript is spliced from 3 exons. The record is from RefSeq and is a predicted model, not a curated record. NCBI's taxonomy places the organism in Eukaryota, Metazoa, Chordata, Mammalia, Carnivora, Phocidae.
AAACGGGCAAGUACAAUACAGACUGUGAAUGGAGGCUUCACGAGAGAAGAGGCUUUGUGGUCUUGUUCUUCACCAUAUUCCCAGUUCCUAGAACACUGGUCAUUCAAAGAUUACACUACCUUGAACUUGAAGAUCAAAACAAAUGAUUAGACUUAUAAGAGACAAACUGCUUUCUGGACAACUAAUUAUUAAUGAGAGAGACAUAGC